RNAcentral lists this ribosomal RNA (241 nucleotides) under uncultured Actinomycetales bacterium. RNAcentral describes it as "partial 16S ribosomal RNA". It matches the Rfam family "Bacterial small subunit ribosomal RNA", at positions 89 to 334 of the family's 1533-position model. The record is from RNAcentral. Lineage: Bacteria; Bacillati; Actinomycetota; Actinomycetes; Actinomycetales.
ACUCGAGUGGCGAACGGGUGAGUAACACGUGGGUGAUCUGCCCUGCACUUCGGGAUAAGCUUGGGAAACUGGGUCUAAUACCGGAUAGGAGCCAUCUUUAGUGUGGUGGUUGGAAAGUUUUUCGGUGUAGGAUGAGCUCGCGGCCUAUCAGCUUGUUGGUGGGGUAAUGGCCUACCAAGGCGGCGUCGGGUAGCCGGCCUGAGAGGGUGUACGGCCACAUUGGGACUGAGAUACGGCCCAG